UAAUAAACUGUAGAGUCGUGAUCUUCCAUUGAAAUUUCCUUACAAAAUAACUCGAGAGUCGAGUUACCCUGAAAGGAAAUUUCAAUAGAACAUAACGACUCUAAAGUUUAUAGAGUAAAAACACUAAGAGCUAGAAUCUGUUCCUCGACUCUAGAAAAUGACAAACAAAAGAAUAACAAAGAUUUUUGUUACUAAUGUUUUAUUUGGAUAAACUUGGUCGAUUUUGAAGGAUUUUUCCCUUCAUUUUAUAGUUAGGUUAUACAUUCAUGAUUGCACAAUUAACAUUAAUUGUUUCUUAUGUAAUAAACGGUAGAGUCGUUAUUUUCCAUUGAAAUUUCCUUACAAAAUAACUCAUGAGUCGAGUUAACCUGAAAGGAAAUUUCAAUAGAACAUAACGACUCUAUAGUUUAUCGCAUAAAAACACUUAAGAACUGGAAUUUGUUCCUCGACUCCAGAAAAUGACAAACAAAAGAAUACCAGAGAUUUUUGUUACUAGUUUUAUUUGGAUAAACUUGGUCCGUUUUGAAGGAUUUUGCCCUCACUUUAUAGUUGGGUUUUACAUUCAUGAUUGCACAAUUAACAUUAAUUGUUUCUUAUGUAAUAAACGGUAGAGUCGUUAUUUUCCAUUGAAAUUUCCUUACAAAAUAACUCGUGAGUCGAGUUAACCUGAAAGGAAAUUUCAAUAGAACAUAACGACUCUAUAGUUUAUCGCAUAAAAACACUUAAGAGCUGGAAUUUGUUCCUCGACUCUAGAAAAUGACAAACAAAAGAAUAACAAAGAUUUUUGUUACUAAUGUUUUAUUUGGAUAAACUUCGUCGAUUUUGAAGGAUUUUCCCCUUCACUUUAUAGUUAGGUUAUACAUUCAUGAUUGCACAAUUAACAUCAAUUUUUUUUAUGUAAUAAAUUGUAGAGUCAUUAUCUUCCAUUGAAAUUUCUUUACAAAAUAACUCGAAAGUGGAGUUAACCCGAAAGAAAAUUUCAAUAGAACAUAACGACUCUAUAGUUUAUCAGAUAAAAACAUUCUUAAGUCAAUUGUGCGAAGAUGAACAGGCAACCUUGCCAUAAAGUCAGUUCAACAAGCAAAACCAUUCAAAGCCAAUCAAGCUUAUCCAAACAAAACAUUAAAACAACCAAAAUCUUUAUUAUGUUUUCGUUUGCAAACUUAACAUAUAUUUUUGUGAAAUGAAUCAGCUUCUAGUGUCAAGUUCAUGCAGAUAAACAAAUCAUGCAUAAUCUAUAACCUAAAGAAAGUAAUCAACCAUGAUCUAACCAAAACACACACACAACUAUGAGAUGCUAGAUCUUAACCGGAAGUAACCGCUACUUCGACANNNNN
This 1337-nucleotide long non-coding RNA is filed under the name Trifolium pratense (red clover). Its description in RNAcentral is "long non-coding RNA (TPRA_LNC004964)". The record is from RNAcentral. Lineage: Eukaryota; Viridiplantae; Streptophyta; Magnoliopsida; Fabales; Fabaceae.